AAACCGGGGCUAAUACCGGAUGCUUGUUUGAACCGCAUGGUUCAAACAUAAAAGGUGGCUUCGGCUACCACUUACAGAUGGACCCGCGGCGCAUUAGCUAGUUGGUGAGGUAAUGGCUCACCAAGGCGACGAUGCGUAGCCGACCUGAGAGGGUGAUCGGCCACACUGGGACUGAGACACGGCCCAGACUCCUACGGGAGGCAGCAGUAGGGAAUCUUCCGCAAUGGACGAAAGUAUGACG
RNAcentral lists this ribosomal RNA (241 nucleotides) under Bacillus sp. FMQ74. RNAcentral's name for it is "partial 16S ribosomal RNA". It matches the Rfam family "Bacterial small subunit ribosomal RNA", at positions 154 to 388 of the family's 1533-position model. The record is from RNAcentral. Lineage: Bacteria; Bacillati; Bacillota; Bacilli; Caryophanales; Bacillaceae.